GCGGACUGUCUUUCUGGAAACUGGAACAAGACUUUAUCAAGAGGUUAAAAGUGUGAAUUUCACAAACCAUUUGAGAGCAGCUAGAAGCUAUCGUCUUCAUCUCGUCGGGACAUUAUAAGCUGCCUCCUGGGUCCUGUGAGAUGCGGGAUACUAGACGGGGAGUCCAACGCUCCAGAGUCCAAUCUAGGAGUGGAAGUACAACGUGGCCCAACACGGCCCAUGAGUCCACGUACAUCCCUGUGAAGGGCUGGAUCGCUGGGGAUGGAGUUAAGACGUACCCCCUGUUCAUGAAUGUCCCGGUCCAAACGGGGGUUACUGGCACUGCUGGGAGACUGAGGAUCAGCGCUGAAGUAUAAGGUCGAACUCGACUCUGUGGGGCAAAAGUACGGCUCUGGACUGUCUCCAAACACAGACUUUCCCUCUGGUGAGCUACGUUUGAAAUCUGAAGCGGGUGACUCCAGUGGGCUCUCCAUCUCUAGGCUAUCAUCCUCUUCCUCAGGUGGUUCAGUCGAUGUUGGCUCGCUCACACUCUGGAACUCAUCUUUGCAAUCCGAUAGAGGUGCCAGGCCUUUCCCCUGAGACUCAGAGGUGGAGACACCCUCAUCUCCUGCUGUGAUAGUCAUGCCCUCGUUACUCUUAUACUCCUGGUUGUACUCCUCCAAGUCCAGUAUGGCUGCCGCUCCACCAGCCCCAUACGCCCUGUUGAUCUUCCCCAGGUCUCCUGUUUUCAGAGCCAGCCGAAUGAGGAGCCAGUGGUGAUGAUAGCAUGGGCAGGAGCUGUUAGCCCGGCCCCCGCAGGUUCCUGGGUGCUCCAGUAGAGAACCAGCCACACCGGAGAGGGAAAAGCUGCCGUGGUUUUGAAUGGAGGGAGCUGGAAGGCUUUUAUCGCCAAGAGAGAAGGAGGACUCCCCGCGUUCAAUGCAUGUGCUGCCCAUGUGAUUUCGGUUCAUUCCCUGGGAGAUCUCUGUGGACUUUGGGUGGAGGAAUCGGUAGUACAGGACAAGAGAGGUAGCACCUGGGAAGAGGGAAGAGUUGAUAGAGGAAUUAUUUUUUGAAAAUUGACUUGCAUUGAUUAUCUUAAGUAUCCAGAAGAGUACAGAUUGUUAUUUCAGUUUUUCAUCCAGUUGACGUGUUUUUCAUGUCUUCUGUUGAGUCAAAUCUUCAGUCCUCAAACCUUUAAGUGCAUCCCUUUAUGGAACCUCUACAGUUUUUGUGUUAGCAGCCAAACACAAACAUGCACAAGUGAGGAACUGUAAAGCUAUACCACAAAUUACACUUCCACUUUUGCUGAUAGUUCAAAAACACAACUUAAAUGUCAAUUCAAUUCAAUUUAUUUUCAACCUGUUUGCAUCCCCUCUGAUUCUAUAUUAUUCAUAUACCACAGAAACUGCUGCACAUUUUGACUUUGGUUUAAUUUUAACAUCUAAGACAAAUCUGUUCCCAAACAGAAAAAGUGCAGAUAGGGAAAGUGACUCACCAAGGAGAAAGCUGCAAAGCACAGUGGUGGGAAGGGUCAUGCUGUCCCAUGAUGCUUCACUUAGGAAGUCAGAGGCGGCCAGCAGCAGUGUAGCAUUCUCUACUAGCAUGAACUGAGGGAGGAGAGAAGGUCAUCUGCACACAGCUUUAGAAGUAAGGAUGAAACUGAAAACUAUCGGCCCUGCAUGUAUGUCAGUAUGCAGUGCUCUAUAUGACAUGCAAAACAACAUUCUGACAACAGGAAAUCAAGCGCAAGAUUUAAUUUUAAUCAUGUCUUACUGCAUAAAAACUGGCCAUGCGGAAGCGCGAGGGUCCAUCUUUGACGUUAAGGAAGACGAAGACGUGGACGAGCCCCAUGAUGCCGUUAAAGGCUCGCCAACACCAGGGGCCAGUGCAGAUGUCUGGUUGCUGUGAAACCAGCCAGAAGGAGGCUGUGAGCCAGUGGAAACCUGGAGGUCGACAUAAAAAUAGAACAAGAGUUAGGGCUUAUUAUGGGAUCCAUAUGCAGUGUAGCAUCCUAAUGCAGAGAAGUGAGAAACUGGAUUAAAGGACAUGCUGCAUCACUGAGGAUAAUUACAUCCUACAUACAAGUGUAUACGAGUGAUUUUGUGCAUCUUUUUCCUGCACCAUUUACAAUCAUUAUUCUCUUUCUCUAAGAUGUAAGUAUCCGCCCAUGUAGCCUGCUGCUCACCUGCUACUCCACAGACCCACCAGUUAAAAACUCUGGCAAAGAACAUGAGGCAGGUCACCCUCGCACCCAGCAUGCCAGCCCUCCACACCAGCUGGCACAGCAAGGCUGCUGGAGGCAUGGCCAAGUGGCCCGGUCGUAUCAGGCAGCAGGCUCUGCUAUACAGAACCAGUGCCCAGGAAAUAGACAGCACACACAGACCACAGCAGUAGGCCACUAUAGUAAAAAAAGAGUAGAAAAACACAUUAUUUAUUAUUUAGACCCUUUUUACAACAACAGAUAUGACACAAGCAGGAUCAGGUUGUUAAAGGUGACAUCAGGUUACCUGGGGACAUGAUGCCCACAUCAGUGGACACCACGACAUACGCUUGCAGCAGACUCUGAGGCAGUGUGAGAACCAGGGCCUCCAGCAGCCACAAAGCAGCAACAUCUGCCUGCUGCAUGACCGCAACUCCAAGAUCAGCCACAGAGUCCUGCAUGCGGAACACAGCCCUCAUGCAGUCCCACAUCCUGCCAGAAGAGGGAGACAGACACAAACAUAGGAGCAGUGAGACAAGGUGCAGUAUGUGUAUGACAGAGAGGUAGCAUCGCCUGUCAUCACCAUCAUCAUAGUACCAUUUCACACUAAGCAGCUGAACUGCUGUACCCGGUAGGAAGAGGCCCAGAGUGAGGCCCGCCCACUGCGUCUCUUCAUUCCAAAGAGAGGCUGAAGUGGACCACAGAGCAGCUGUGAGCACGGUGUGACCAGAUCAGGGGCGUGUCAUCAGUCCGGAAGAGGUGCAGUGUUCAGAAACCAGUGCCCAGCUGUCCCUCUGUACGUGUCAGCGGGGGAUGAACGUCCAGAAUGUGUUGAUACUUGUGUCAUGCUGCUGUGUGAAUAAAUGUCAGCACCGCGCUAGAGUCACCACCCACCUAGUCCACCAACCAUCUCCUCUCAGCCAGUGGAUGAUCUCCUGUUGACAAGCAGAGGGUUAUUAUCGUGGUUUCAGGGCUAACAGGAAUGCUACCACACUUCACAACAGAUGUCUUUUCAAAUUUUGACAAAACCACCCACAGAGAUGAGGAAAGAACUUGUGAUGUCUGUACUCAGCUGACCUGCAGGGAUUGAUGUCUGUAACCCGUGAGAUAUGAAGAUAAUUUCAUAACUGAUGACACAGUGAAUAUGCAUGUGUGGCUCUUGGACCUACAAUGAUUAAAAAUGUAUUUCAUGUAUA
Molecule: long non-coding RNA, 3378 nt
Organism: Notolabrus celidotus (New Zealand spotty)
Lineage: Eukaryota; Metazoa; Chordata; Actinopteri; Labriformes; Labridae
Exons: 6
Source: RefSeq, a predicted model, not a curated record